CCCUUAGAUGUUCUGGGCUGCACGCGUGCUACACUGAUAUUGCCAAUAUGUCAUUCUUAUCCGAAAUGGAUUGGGUAAUCAAGUAAUGAAAUUUCAUGCUUGGAAUCGGUAAUUGCAAUUUUAUCGUGAACGAGGAAUUCCUAGUAAGCACUAGUCAUCAGCUAAUGUUGAUUAUGUCCCUGCCCUUUGUACACACCGCCCGUCGCUACUACUGAUUGGGUGUUCAAGUGAGAUGCUUAGACCCUUGUUGCAUGGUUCAUUAUUGUGCUCUGAAAGGAAAAAGUUUCAAGCUUGAGUGUCUAGAGGAAGUAAAAGUCGUAACA
Molecule: ribosomal RNA, 323 nt
Filed under: uncultured eukaryote
Lineage: Eukaryota
Description: partial 18S ribosomal RNA
Rfam family: Eukaryotic small subunit ribosomal RNA
Source: RNAcentral